Drosophila montana is the source of this 523-nucleotide long non-coding RNA. RefSeq lists it as uncharacterized. The transcript has 2 exons. The record is from RefSeq and is a predicted model, not a curated record. NCBI's taxonomy places the organism in Eukaryota, Metazoa, Arthropoda, Insecta, Diptera, Drosophilidae.
CUCGUAACUCAGCAUCUAUUCAUUUUUCAAAAUAUCCUCCCGAUUCCGUGUCUAGGAAACUUUUGGCUUUAGUGCGCACGAUUCAAUUGAAUUCAAUUGCCUUUGAUUGCUAUUGGCAACACGAUGCAGCUGGCCCGAGUGCCUCUGUGGAUCUAUCUGCUAAUUAAAGCAACUGCAAAUUGCGGCUAAACACUGGGCAAUUCUGUAAUAAUGCGCCAUAAGAACGGCCAACCCAGCUCCGGCCGCUAGCUCUCGCUUUCAAAGGCCGCUAAACAAGACUACAAUUUAUCAGCAAUAAAUUUGCGUUUGCACAGUGGCAAUGCUUUAUGCAUGAAACGCACGAACGGCGGGGACAACAGCAAAGUGUGGCAGAGUGGCAAAGUUGCAAGUCGCAAGUGGCAAGUGGGCGAUGUGGCACGCACAGCAAACAAAAAUGCAAACAUUGCAAUUUUAAGCGGCGACUUGUAUCUCUGAUUGCUCGCGAUCUGCAUUUUAAUUUAAAUAAAUUGUAUCUUGGGCACAU